AGAGACAGCAGCCGCCGCGGUAAAACAGAGGGUGCAAGCGUUAAUCGGAAUUACUGGGCGUAAAGCGCGCGUAGGUGGUUUGUUAAGUUGGAUGUGAAAGCCCCGGGCUCAACCUGGGAACUGCAUCCAAAACUGGCAAGCUAGAGUACGGUAGAGGGUGGUGGAAUUUCCUGUGUAGCGGUGAAAUGCGUAGAUAUAGGAAGGAACACCAGUGGCGAAUGCGACCACCUGGACUGAUACUGACACUGAGGUGCGAAAGCGUGGGGAGCAAACAGGAUUAGAUACCCCGGUAGUCCCUGUCUCUUAUAC
RNAcentral lists this ribosomal RNA (309 nucleotides) under uncultured bacterium. Its description in RNAcentral is "partial 16S ribosomal RNA". It matches the Rfam family "Bacterial small subunit ribosomal RNA", at positions 504 to 807 of the family's 1533-position model. The record is from RNAcentral.